UAUUUUAUUCUCUUUCUAUUCUUAGUAAUCCCCCUUCCUUUAUAUUCAUAUUUUUUUCGGUGGCAGUGCCUUUUGAUCAAUUAACCUAUACGAUAGUCCUUAAUCCUGAGAGAACAGUUCUCACCAGGUAGCCUCAGUGUGGACUUCAAAGUCCUUUAGUAUCUGGUAAAUUGACAUAUGUGCAAUACUUGGGUAUCUUUAUUGUGGAAAAGUUUCCACAAUAAAGAUACCCAAUUAUGACACGUGUGUCUAAUUUACCCAACUUGUCGGUUCUCUGAGCCAUUUAUCUACACCUCUGGUAUCUGUUUUUCCAUGUACACCUGACAGUCAGUACACUCCUGUGUUCGUGGCCUGGUCACCCAUGAAGAGGGAGCUGGAGGGGAACGGGUAUUUUCUCGAUGUAAUGGCCUGGUGUACGUGUAAAGGUAUUAUCCUGGACGUAUUCAGCGUCACGAAAGCUACGAAAUCUGUCUUCUGGCGGAGGUGGCUGGAUCAGUAGUUCGCUGGUCAUCAACAGUAAUUUAAAGAGAAGGCAGCCUUCAUUCACCUGUUGACAGCCUAGUCAGAGGCUCUAGCAAGCAGUAGCCCGGAACCUAACCUGCUGUAUAAGCGAGGCCCUCCUGUAACUGGGUACCGAAGGAAGACACUGCAGCCCAGAGCAUAGCACAUGACCAAGCCUUUCUACCACAAGACGAUUAUUAGAAUACAACUACCAAACAUCUUGGACAACGGUGACUGUAAUCCCAGUACUGAAGAGAAGAGACUAAUAUGCAGCCCUAACCUACACAUCAUCCCUAGCAGACGUAUAUAAAUGGUUCAGAAAACCAACACGUUGACAAAUUAGACACAUAUGUCCUUAUUGUGGAAACAUUUCACCACACAGUUGCUUCUACAGUCCAAUACAAACAAGAAUGGUGAAGAUUUUCAACAUUCUUUGUAUUGGACCGAUGAAGCCACAAUAAAGACACCCAAUUGUUGUAAAUGUGUCUAAUUCAUCCCUAGCAAACUUACAAGGUGACGAGUAAAUAAAGAGACUAAGACACAUGCAAAGACACGGAUUCAGACCGGAGAAAAUCUUAUCACGAGCUUAGUAGAAUUCAACAGCAGUUCUUAGUUAUUAGACAAAAAAGAGGAGGGAAGAUACA
Molecule: long non-coding RNA, 1145 nt
Organism: Cherax quadricarinatus
Lineage: Eukaryota; Metazoa; Arthropoda; Malacostraca; Decapoda; Parastacidae
Source: RefSeq, a predicted model, not a curated record